This 1695-nucleotide long non-coding RNA is filed under the name Salmo salar (Atlantic salmon). RNAcentral's name for it is "lncRNA (ENSSSAG00000083255.1)". The record is from RNAcentral. Lineage: Eukaryota; Metazoa; Chordata; Actinopteri; Salmoniformes; Salmonidae.
CCCCAUCUGCCCCUGCCCCCGCCCCAUCUACAACGAACCCCGCCCCAUCUACCACUGCCCCGCCCCAUAUAUCACUGACUUGUCAAUCAAACUACUGACUGAUAUUAAAAUGAGAGGAGAGACAGAGAGACUGGAGAGAGACUGGAGAGAGACUGGAGAGAGUGGAGAGAGACUGGAGAGAGACUGGAGAGAGACUGGAGAGAGUGGAGAGAGACUGGAGAGAGACUGGAGAGAGUGGAGAGAGACUGGAGAGAGACUGGAGAGAGACUGGAGAGAGACAGCAGCUGGAGAGAGACUGGAGAGAGACUGGAGAAAGACUGGAGAGAGACUGGAGAAAGACUGGAGAGAGACUGGAGAAAGACUGGAGAGAGACUGGAGAGAGACUGGAGAGAGACUGGAGAGAGACUGGAGAGAGACUGGAGAGAGACUGGAGAGAGACAGCAGCUGGAGAGAGACUGGAGAGAGACUGGAGAGAGACUGGAGAGAGACUGGAGAGAGACUGGAGAGAGACAGCAGCUGGAGAAAGACUGGAGAGAGACUGGAGAGAGACUGGAGAGAGACUGGAGAAAGACUGGAGAGAGACUGGAGAGAGACUGGAGAGAGACUGGAGAGAGACUGGAGAGAGACAGCAGCUGGAGAGAGACUGGAGAGAGACUGGAGAGAGACUGGAGAGAGACUGGAGAGAGACUGGAGAGAGACAGCAGCUGGAGAGAGACUGGAGAAAGACUGGAGAGAGACUGGAGAGAGACUGGAGAGAGACUGGAGAGAGACAGGAGAGAGACUGGAGAGAGACUGGAGAGAGACAGGAGAGAGACUGGAGAGAGACUGGAGAGAGACUGGAGAGAGACUGGAGAGAGACUGGAGAGAGACAGCAGCUGGAGAGAGACUGGAGAAAGACUGGAGAGAGACUGGAGAAAGACUGGAGAGAGACUGGAGAAAGACUGGAGAGAGACUGGAGAAAGACUGGAGAGAGACUGGAGAGAGACUGGAGAGAGACUGGAGAGAGACUGGAGAGAGACUGGAGAGAGACAGAGGAAAAAAUGCCAUCAGGGAGACAUGAGAGGACCAGAGAGCAGAGCAACACUGAUGCCACUCACACCACACAUUCCACUAGGACCUGUGUGUGUGUGUGUGUGUGUGUCAGUCUGUCAGGACAACACGGUAACAGCAGUCUGUCAGGACAACACGGUAACAGCAGUCUUCUGUUCUGAUGCUCUGCUUGUGUCUAGAACACAUAUAAAUUCCUUUGCGUUUGUACUGAGUGUCUGAAUAUAUGUUUGUCAGUACUAUCCUACGUAUACUAGUAAACACAAACAGGAUAUUGAAUAUGACUGUUGUAUGAAGACUUUGUAGUGAGGACCUGCAGGGAGGGUAAUAUACUACCACAGAGCAAACUGGCCUAUUAUAUUCUGAUACAUCUCUUCAUUUUUAGAAAGAUGGACUGAUUGACUCGACAGCCCUUCACAACAUCGAAGGUUUUCAGAUUUCUAAUUAUUAAACCUAUAAACAUAUCUGUGGUUUAAUUAUUGGUUUGUUUCUGAAAGUUAGCCGGCUAAACUCAUUGAUCCUGCUUUGUAGUGUUACCCACCCCUCCCUCUGAUAUCUGUCGUGAUGGUUAAAACCAUGUGAUUUAAACACAUAUCUUUAUUUCUUUUAACUGUAAUGACAUAUGUUUCAAUAAAGUUAUUUCACCUU